Long non-coding RNA from Scatophagus argus, 250 nucleotides. RefSeq lists it as uncharacterized. NCBI's taxonomy places the organism in Eukaryota, Metazoa, Chordata, Actinopteri, Scatophagidae. The transcript is spliced from 3 exons. The record is from RefSeq and is a predicted model, not a curated record.
UGGAAUGCGAGCUUGAGAGGAACCAUCAGCUCAAACAGCUGCAUUCUUCAGCCAGUCGUUCUGUAGCCAAAUAUGGUCGGCUUAAGCACUUUUUGCCCAGCAAGGCACCACAUGUGAAACUGGUCCUAGCUUUUCAAGGCCAUGUAGAAGAAAAAUUCGAGAAAAUGCCAAACAGAGAGCCACUCGUGACCCAUUUCCUCGAAUUCAUGGCAGAUGGUGAAGUCCCAGCUAUCAGCCUCCUUUUCCUACA